Molecule: ribosomal RNA, 1061 nt
Filed under: Bacillus pumilus
Lineage: Bacteria; Bacillati; Bacillota; Bacilli; Caryophanales; Bacillaceae
Description: bacterial SSU rRNA
Rfam family: Bacterial small subunit ribosomal RNA
Source: RNAcentral
ACCGGAGCUAAUACCGGAUAGUUCCUUGAACCGCAUGGUUCAAGGAUGAAAGACGGUUUCGGCUGUCACUUACAGAUGGACCCGCGGCGCAUUAGCUAGUUGGUGAGGUAACGGCUCACCAAGGCGACGAUGCGUAGCCGACCUGAGAGGGUGAUCGGCCACACUGGGACUGAGACACGGCCCAGACUCCUACGGGAGGCAGCAGUAGGGAAUCUUCCGCAAUGGACGAAAGUCUGACGGAGCAACGCCGCGUGAGUGAUGAAGGUUUUCGGAUCGUAAAGCUCUGUUGUUAGGGAAGAACAAGUGCAAGAGUAACUGCUUGCACCUUGACGGUACCUAACCAGAAAGCCACGGCUAACUACGUGCCAGCAGCCGCGGUAAUACGUAGGUGGCAAGCGUUGUCCGGAAUUAUUGGGCGUAAAGGGCUCGCAGGCGGUUUCUUAAGUCUGAUGUGAAAGCCCCCGGCUCAACCGGGGAGGGUCAUUGGAAACUGGGAAACUUGAGUGCAGAAGAGGAGAGUGGAAUUCCACGUGUAGCGGUGAAAUGCGUAGAGAUGUGGAGGAACACCAGUGGCGAAGGCGACUCUCUGGUCUGUAACUGACGCUGAGGAGCGAAAGCGUGGGGAGCGAACAGGAUUAGAUACCCUGGUAGUCCACGCCGUAAACGAUGAGUGCUAAGUGUUAGGGGGUUUCCGCCCCUUAGUGCUGCAGCUAACGCAUUAAGCACUCCGCCUGGGGAGUACGGUCGCAAGACUGAAACUCAAAGGAAUUGACGGGGGCCCGCACAAGCGGUGGAGCAUGUGGUUUAAUUCGAAGCAACGCGAAGGACCUUACCAGGUCUUGACAUCCUCUGACAACCCUAGAGAUAGGGCUUUCCCUUCGGGGACAGAGUGACAGGUGGUGCAUGGUUGUCGUCAGCUCGUGUCGUGAGAUGUUGGGUUAAGUCCCGCCACGAGCGCAACCCUGGAUCGUAGUUGCCAACAUUCAGUAGGGCACUCUAAGGUGACUGCCGGUGACAAACCGGAGGAAGGUGGGGAUGACGUCAAAUCAUCAUGCCCCUUA